This is a long non-coding RNA of Harmonia axyridis, 1516 nucleotides long. RefSeq lists it as uncharacterized. The record is from RefSeq and is a predicted model, not a curated record. Lineage: Eukaryota; Metazoa; Arthropoda; Insecta; Coleoptera; Coccinellidae. The transcript is spliced from 2 exons.
CUAUAAAAGGUGCAUCAGUGGGAUGGUAUAUAAUAUUAUUAUAAUAAUGAAGGUCUUUAUUCAAUUGAUUUCAUGAAAAAUGAUAAAAAAAUUUUAACAACUAUAGGAAUAAUUGAAAUAUAUAAAUAUUAAACCCACUGUAAAUGACAGAACUGAUACCCAAAAUUUGAGUUCUGUUUAUUUCAAUAUUUUGAAUUUGUACCGAUUGAAUAGAGGCCAGCCGAGAUAAAGAAAAACAUGAACAUGUGUACCUCGUUUCGCAUUCAAUCUGUAUUCUUAUUGUUUUUGUUUCAUCAUACAUCAGCUCAUAAGUUGAAAUUGACAUUUGACAUGUAAAUUUUCCAUUUUAUUAUUUUAAAUGUGAUGUCUGUUGUAAUUUAUUAUUUUAAAUGUGAAUGAUCGACAAAAUUUUAUAUAUACACUGUGUGUUCAAAGUGUUAUAUCACAUCGUUAGCCGACAACAAUUAACUAAGGCUAAAAGGACCAUUUUAAGGAAUAUUCCUGAGAACAACUGACAUUGAAAACCCCAAAUUUAACCAUCCAAAGACUAAAAAGAAAGACACUUCAACAUGUCGAGAUAAAAAUAGUUUCAACUAUCUACCCGAAAAUACAAAAGACGAAGACGAACCUAGUCCAAAUAAAAAACCACCUCCAAUUGUCCUACCUGGGGUUUUCACCAACUAUGCGAGGAAGGUGAAAGAAAUAAAGUCAGAAGUAGAUGGAAAUUUCUACAUGAAAUAUAGUGUGAACGACACCACUAUCCACAAUUUUACAGCGACAAUAUAAAGGAUCAGGAAAAGAUAAUAAAAUUUCACACGUAUACCCCGAAGCACAUGAAAACCCAUACAUUAACGCUAAGGGGACUGGAACAGGAUAUAGAACUGGAAGAGAUCAAAGACGAUCUAAUCAGUCAGAAAGUACCAGUCAUUCAAAUACUUAAGAUGAAGGCGACCCAAUCCCCUGCAUAUAUGGUGGUGACCGAUAAUUCAGUCACCACCUUGAAAAGACUGCAACACCACAUUAAAGUGGUAAGUUAUACCAAAAUAAGGUGGAAUCGAUACACCACCAAAAAGGAGAUUAUACAGUGCCACAGAUGUCAGUUGUGGGGCCACGCCACCGCCAAUUGCCACAGGGCGGAAAAAUGCCUAAAAUGCGCCGAGUCGCAUUUAACAAUGAACUGUACUGUGCAUUACAUUUGUACUUUACAUUUUUAAUUGCCUCAAUUAUAUCCACCUUAACAUCAGUAAAUACAAGAGAUGCUCUGACUUUCAUGGGUAUGAAACACGCCAUACUGAUACCAUAGCCUUCCCCAAACAUCGUACAGCUAAAUAUGAGUCCUCACCGAGCUUUAUGGGCAUUAAAUUGUACAACCGUUUGCCUAGUAGGUUGAAAUCAAUGAAUGGAAGGUCUUUCAAGCGAGAAGUAAAGUUGCUAUUGAUUAAAGGAUGCUACUAUAGUGUUGGAGAGUUCCUUAGGGACUCCAUUCUUUGAAUCUGUUUUUUUUUUUGUUUUUUUU